Molecule: ribosomal RNA, 276 nt
Filed under: Homalonychus theologus
Lineage: Eukaryota; Metazoa; Arthropoda; Arachnida; Araneae; Homalonychidae
Description: partial 12S ribosomal RNA
Source: RNAcentral
CGGCAUUAAUUCUCAGAGGAACUUGUUUAUUUAAUCGACAAUCCACGAUACCUUUCACUUUUAAUAAAAAUUCAUAUACCGCCAUCUAAAGAGUUAAUUUUAAAAUAUUACUCUAAAUAAAACCUAAAAAGUUAGGUCAAGGUGUGGUCUAUAUAAAAGGCAUAAAUGAGUUACAUUUAACUUAAUUAAAGGAUUAAAAAAUUAAAAUUUUUUAUUAAAAAGGAUUUGAAAGUAAAAAUUUAAUAAUAAUAUAUUUUGAAAAUUUUAAAAAUGUGC